Long non-coding RNA from Microcebus murinus (gray mouse lemur), 1063 nucleotides. RefSeq lists it as uncharacterized. The record is from RefSeq and is a predicted model, not a curated record. Lineage: Eukaryota; Metazoa; Chordata; Mammalia; Primates; Cheirogaleidae.
GAUCCCCAAUAAAGCACGGUCAGAAACCUGUUGCCGCGUCUUCCUUGCUGGCGAGGCGGGCGCGACAAGUGGUGCCGAAACCCGGGAAAACGAAACAACCUUGAAGCACCAGCGGAGACGACCUCAUUAGGAGGACCAAGAGAACCCUGUUUGGGUACCAGCCCGGCUGACCAGACUAGUCCGCCCAGAUCCCAGCGACGAUGAGCCUGUUGUGGCUGAGCCUGCUGAUGGACCUGAUGAUGACGGGGUCCGGGGCGGAGCCCAGGUGGGCGGUGAUGGACGUCUUCCCGAUGCCGAUGCGAUCCGCCAUGACUCCACCGUCUUUCCUCGUUUCCCACCAACAUCUCACUGGACCUGCCUUAUGUUCCUUUCGACCCUGACCAGGCAAACUUUUCCCAUAGCGCAAACAUUACUAUCCCAGGGUCACUUUGCUUUGAAUGUCAACUCGCAGCUUAAAGGAGGAAUUACGAUCAUAAUCAAAGAGUGGACUUAGUCCAAGAACAAGUGGACUCGUUAUUGCAGCUUGUGCAGCUGGGAUGCGAGCAGCGGUGGCCCGGUUUAUGUGUUACCUCCAUCUCCAUCAUAAUUGGUCCCGUGCAGCAAACUUGUCUCGCCAACUGUCCCAUUACCUAAUGUCUAAUUGGUCUCAUGGAUUUGAGGGACUGUUACUUGAGUUACAGCAAUCCAUUAUUCAUAUUAAUUCUACACGGGUUGAUCUUGCUGUUGCUGAAGGUUUAACUAGCUGGAUUUCACAGGCUGCCAAUCAUCUUAAGGAAUGGGCUGGUAUGGGUGCCUUGGCAGGUCUCCUUGUGCUUAUUGCCAUAUUAGGGCUCACAUGUAUUGUCAGAAUGGCGCGUCAGAACCAACGUAAUCAGAUAUUGAUGAUUCAGGCUUUUGCUGCGUUAGAGCUUGGGCAAAACCCACAGGUUUGGCUAAACAUGUUGAACUAGGGCGCUGUUAUCGCCCCAGCAGCCCCCCCGAGUUGGCUGUAAGGUUACUCCAUGACGGGAAUGCAUGGGGCCCCAUCAUUGAGCGUCGUAGAUUUGAGCCAUGAUGGGGAGAA